This 206-nucleotide ribosomal RNA is filed under the name uncultured bacterium. RNAcentral describes it as "partial 16S ribosomal RNA". It matches the Rfam family "Bacterial small subunit ribosomal RNA", at positions 568 to 774 of the family's 1533-position model. The record is from RNAcentral.
UGCGCAGGCGGUUUUGUAAGACAGAGGUGAAAUCCCCGGGCUCAACCUGGGAACUGCCUUUGUGACUGCAAGGCUAGAGUACGGCAGAGGGGGAUGGAAUUCCGCGUGUAGCAGUGAAAUGCGUAGAUAUGCGGAGGAACACCGAUGGCGAAGGCAAUCCCCUGGGCCUGUACUGACGCUCAUGCACGAAAGCGUGGGAGCAAACA